UCGAGAAUCUUCCGCAAUGGACGAAAGUCUGACGGAGCGACGCCGCGUGUGGGAUGAAGGCCCUCGGGUUGUAAACCACUGUCAGUUGGGAGGAAAUCCAUAGGGGUUCUCCCCUAUGGUUGACCCAUCUUCAGAGGAAGGGCGGGCUAAGUUCGUGCCAGCAGCCGCGGUAAGACGAACCGCCCGAACGUUAUUCGGAAUCACUGGGCUUAAAGGGUGCGUAGGCGGCUUGGCAAGUUGGGUGUGAAAUCCCUCGGCUCAACCGAGGAACUGCGCCCAAAACUGCCAGGCUAGAGGGAGAUAGAGGUGAGCGGAACUUAUGGUGGAGCGGUGAAAUGCGUUGAUAUCAUAAGGAACACCUGUGGCGAAAGCGGCUCACUGGAUCUCUUCUGACGCUGAGGCACGAAAGCUAGGGGAGCGAACGGGAUUAGAUACCCCCGUAGUCC
Molecule: ribosomal RNA, 446 nt
Filed under: uncultured prokaryote
Description: bacterial SSU rRNA
Rfam family: Bacterial small subunit ribosomal RNA
Source: RNAcentral